UUUCUUCAUUUUCCUCAUCCGAGUUGGCACCUGGCUCAUAACUGUACGACUGGAUGGCUCCGAUGCUGCUCCUUAUAUUUGUUUAACCGGUAAUAUUAGGUUGGGGUUCUAAACUAGCAGGAGAGAGUGUAAACAAAGGGAUGAUGGGAAAUGGAGGAACAAACGAGACCCUCCACAACUAAGAGGCAAGUUUCUAAGGAACUACUGCUGCUCUGUCAUAGAAAAGGUUUUUUUGAUUUUGCCUUCAUCAGGCUGUCAUUGAGAGACCAGCUGGAAUGGACAUGUCUUAAAACGUUUCUACAGAUUUCAGGUUUUUUUUUUUACACAGAGAAAAACAAAAAAAAGAGUUUUAAAGAGCCAAAGCAGGUCACUGCAAAGGCUUCAGGGAAUCCAAGAUUCCAAUUCUGGUUUGUUCUGGAUCAGAAACUGCUAAUCUGAGCAUUCAGUCAUGAGCCACGGUUAAACAGUUUAGAAAGCAUUACAAAAGCAGUGUGCCACAUUUUUACACCUAAGGUCUGUAAACCAAUUAAGGGCACCUGGGAUCUCCAAGUCUGUCUGUUUCUUAUCUCCUGCCCGAUUGCCCUUUUCACCCUCCUGUCUCCUUGCUGAGGUCUGCUGCCAACCUAGCAUUUUUAAUUUACUGGAUCGUUAAACUCAGAAAUCUAUUUUUGUGGCACCCUGAUGCAACAGCCAGUGAAAGACGUAUUACUAUGAAAUCAUGGUGCAGAGGGUCUGACUCUGCAGGAACAAUCAAGGUUAAUCAGUGAUGUCUGCCAUGGAGAGCAGUUUUAUUGACCCUCGGACAACAUAUUCCAGGAUGAAAUGGAUGAAGACAAUGGAGGACAUGUGAAGGCAUAAAAAAUAAGCUUUCUGUUUCGGUUGCCUCUCCACAUUUCCUCAUCCCUCCUUCCGUUGAUUUUCUGCCGUCAUCCUGGUGGCGUGAGUUAGGAAUUUGCUCCUGUGUCACAAGUUCUCAUCGUUGUCAAACCCACCCUGCAUCAUUUACUGAAACUCCACGAGCAAAGAUGUGAGUAAUCUGAACUCCGCCUGAACCACCCAGCACACACUCCACACACACACACUAAUAAAUGUGUGCAAGCCCAGAUGCUGCACUGUAAUUGCCCACUGUGGCUUCCCGCUGUGGCAAAGAUAUUUUUAACACACAUGCUUAAAGCCACACACAAUAAUCCUUGCCUCUGCAGCAUCUGCCACAUCCCCCAACAUGUGCUGGUUAAAUGCAACCACACAUGCACAAACACACACACACUGCAGGCCGUGACCAUGAAGGCAGUCCCUCCCUGUUUAACCACCACGAAAAAAAAAAAAAAAAAGAUGUGGCUAUUCAUCGAAAGGCAGAAGUUUUUCCUCUGAGACUAAACCUGCUGCUGUUUUCAUCUUCAGCAGUGUUUCUCUUGGACGGCUCGCUUGAUUCUGCGGUGAAGGCCUCUGGAACAAUCUUUGAGUCACGUGACGCUUUGGUACAAACCUGCAGCGAAGGGAUGAGGUUCUCCCAGAAAGUGUUUGUCAUGUAGCCAGAGCUAAUCUUAAUGUUUUCUCACAUUCGCUGCUCCCUUUCACACCUGCAUGGCUAACAUUACACUGUUCUCGACAGGGAACGCAUUUCUCUGAUAGACGUGUCCUGAAUUUUCAUCUUCUGCACAUGGUGGGUUUUGCUGUCUGCAUUUGUUUGGCAAACACUUACUGACAGCAAUUCUUGAAUAAAUAAUUGAGACGUGAUGCCAAAAUGUGCCAGGAGCUAUUUGAAGUAGACGCUCAGCAGGAGAUAACAAAUUCAUGGCCCUGAUUAAGAAGGUCCUGCAGUAACUACGAAUGAUUUCUACCUUUUUGACUUUGCUGAUUGAUAACAAACGAUGUGAAAUAGUUUUGAACUGCUUUGACAUUUAAUGAUAACUGUCUGUGAUAACACUAGGUUUGACCUGGAAUGAAUUGAAGUGAAACUGAAACUGAUUAUAACAGUUUUUAUUAGUUAAAACAGCUUUUUUCAAAAUAAAUUAACAGAAAAACCUUGGGUCUUUUAAUUUUUUUUUCACUUAAUCACAUAUCUUUCAAGAAAGGAAGGGUACAUACGAAAAUCUAUUAGAAAUAUAACAGGAGUCAUGGUCAUUUGAAGUGUUAAAAUCAAGUUGUAUGCAUAAUCAACCAUUUCUACACCAGUUAGGGGCAAAACAAGGUAAAAAAAAAAGGUGUUUGCGUUUGCAGAUGGUACUUUUUAUGUACCAAAUAGAUGCAUCUCUAUUCAAGCAUUUUUAAGGUCAUAAAAUGAGUAAUCUGGACACUGUGAAGCAGCUCCUAAAGGUGUUGGCAAGAGCUGAGAAAACAGUUGAAAUAAAAAUGGUGAAGGCAACUAUGGACCCCAUAGUUAUCCAAACUGUGACAAAUGUGACCCCCAAACCUGGAGAGGGAUUCCUGCAGAAUCUGGGAACAACAUUUAAGUCCAGAAAAGACCCUCAAGCUCUCAGGCCGUCAUAAAGAGCUCAUACUUGAAGGGAAUCAGAGCACUCACAGCUCAAGAGAAGAAUUAUUACAUAUGAUGACAUUGGAGGAUUCUGUGAUUUCCCUUUUGUCAAAAAUAUUAUUGCAAUGACAAUAAUAAACAAAUUUGCUUAUUAUUUGUGUAUUUUAACAGCUAUGCAGUUUAAAGGCAAAUGCCUAUAACAGUUAUGAUUCUCUUAAUCUUUUUUCAUCAGUUAACUGUUUAAAUUAUACACUAGCAUCAUUUACAUUUUUGUCAUUUAUCAUUUUUUUCUGCAUUUGUUGUCAUUGUUUGCAAAAGGCUGUUAAUUAAUUGAUUUAAUGUGUUAUUUUUCUGUUUUUUAAGUGAUGCACUAGACAUGUAAGAUAUUAAAACGCUGAUGUAGACAUGGGAUUUUUUUUUUUUGUUUGAAUCAGAAAAAGAAUGUGGACGUAGUGUCAAAGACAGUUGUUUAAGUCAAUGUCAUUAAAGCUGAUUUGUCUUUUUGGAGGGAAAAAGUGACCCAGAUGGUCAUUCGGGUAACUUGGUGAUUAACUGCUUUAGUGUAGCCAAGUUUCACGAAUCAAACAGAUUGCUGUCUUUUCAGUGUGAGCAGCAAAUAAUUCCCACAAGAUAGUAUCUUAAUAUUAAUAUUUAUUUUGGGGUCGUUUCUGCACGUCUGAUUGGAAACUUUUGAAAGGCACGUCUUUACUGGUGGAAGCCAUUUUUCAUCAGCCUGUGUCUGAAGGGCAGGGACGGUCCAGGUUGGAGCGGAGAGGGAUCUGCCAUCUCUUGAAGAGCAUUUACCAUCUACCAGCCUCACUAGUUAAGAGAGUCUGAGGGAGGAGGGGGGUUGGGGGGGGUGAGAGGCAAAGAGGGAGAGCGCGAUGGAUGUAUCAAACAGCAGCCCCCUGCCGAGCAGGGAAUGGAAAAGCUGCUGGCACCAACAUGAAUAUUUCAGCAGAUAGCUACAGCUCUCUGUACCACCCCCUUCACCCCAUCUCUCUGUCUGUCAGUCUUUCGCUCUCUGUCUCUCAUCUUUUGCUUCUUUCCACUUCCCUCCACCCCCUUCCACACCGCCUCCCCCCCCUUCACUGUCUCACGGAAUG
Long non-coding RNA from Oryzias melastigma (Indian medaka), 3582 nucleotides. RefSeq lists it as uncharacterized. The record is from RefSeq and is a predicted model, not a curated record. Lineage: Eukaryota; Metazoa; Chordata; Actinopteri; Beloniformes; Adrianichthyidae. The transcript is spliced from 3 exons.